Molecule: long non-coding RNA, 976 nt
Organism: Ictalurus punctatus (channel catfish)
Lineage: Eukaryota; Metazoa; Chordata; Actinopteri; Siluriformes; Ictaluridae
Exons: 8
Source: RefSeq, a predicted model, not a curated record
AUUUCUGGUACCGCACAGUGUGAAUUGAAGACAUUUUGAUUCCGGUCCCAGAGUUUCAUAAUUCAGACGAUUUGCACAGACAGCACAGGGACAUUUUGGUGGAUACUAAGGUUUUGACUAUUCAUCUAAAGAGAGAAGCUAUCUUCUUUGCAUCUACCUUGGUGAGGAUGAGGGAUGCCUAGUGAAAGAGUACAUGGAAUUCUAACAAGCAAGAGCAGAUGGUCCAGAAUUUUGGGCAUUUUCACAUGACUUGAAUACUUGAGGCUGACCAUGGAUCCUUCUGAACUCUGGCUUUAUGCCUGCUUUUUUCACCAAUGUGAAAACCACAAAGGUCUGACGCCAGGCGGAACUGAGUUUGCCUGGAGCAGAGAGAUGGAGAAACGGGGAGACCGAGAUACCGGAAACUGUAUAGGAGUGUACAGUCAUGUCUAUUGGCACGAGUUAACGGAUUUAUCACCGUGUGAAGAGGAAGAGGGAGAGAUUUACUAUGAGUUCUCAAGCUUGCCAGCACCGAGGAACCUGGUCUGACCAAUUUUCAGCACCCUUUACUAAAAUAUGGAGCGUUUCUUCAGAGCUGCUGAUUUGGAUUCAGUGUUUUCAGAGAGGUUGAAGUGACAACACGGAGUUGAAAGCUGUUCUGGGAUCAGUGUGUGCUGCAGAGCUGAAUUUGAAGUGUGAGGAGAAAUUUCGACAUGGCUCAAGCCUGUCUGAUGUACGGUAAAGGGUUUACGACAGGAAUGACUCGGCUGUACAUUCAAACACUCGGCUUCACCUCCAUUUGUAGAUAACCAAGUUAGCAUGCGCGUAAAUAAUCAUCGUAGCUGUGGCGCUUCAGACCUGUAAGCUCUAAACUGGCCGAGUGUGUCAGAGUGUGUGUUAUGUAGUGAUUUCACUGCAGGCUUGGGUUCCACGGUGAGUGUGUUUAGCACAGCAUAACAGCCUUUUCAUUUCACUUGAUGCGUUUGACUCAAUAAAG